GGGCGAGUAGCUCAGUCGGUGAGAGCGCCACGUUGACAGCGUGGAGGGCAGGGGUUCGAUUCCCUUCUCGCCCACCA
RNAcentral lists this transfer RNA (77 nucleotides) under Bacillota bacterium. RNAcentral describes it as "Firmicutes bacterium (anaerobic digester metagenome) tRNA-Val". It matches the Rfam family "tRNA". From Rfam's summary of the family: Transfer RNA (tRNA) molecules are approximately 80 nucleotides in length. Their secondary structure includes four short double-helical elements and three loops (D, anti-codon, and T loops). The record is from RNAcentral. Lineage: Bacteria; Bacillati; Bacillota.